This 579-nucleotide ribosomal RNA is filed under the name Bjerkandera adusta. RNAcentral describes it as "eukaryotic LSU rRNA". The stretch from base 177 to 330 matches the Rfam family "5.8S ribosomal RNA". Lineage: Eukaryota; Fungi; Basidiomycota; Agaricomycetes; Polyporales; Phanerochaetaceae. The record is from RNAcentral.
UUGUCUGCUGGCUCGCAAGGGCAUGUGCACGCCUGUCUCAUCCACUCUCAACUUCUGUGCACUUUUCAUAGGCCGGCUUGUGGGUGCGUUCGCGCACUUGUAGGUGUCGGGCUUAUGCUUUACUACAAACGAUUCAGUUUUAGAAUGUCAUACUUUGCUAUAACGCAAUUAUAUACAACUUUCAGCAACGGAUCUCUUGGCUCUCGCAUCGAUGAAGAACGCAGCGAAAUGCGAUAAGUAAUGUGAAUUGCAGAAUUCAGUGAAUCAUCGAAUCUUUGAACGCACCUUGCGCUCCUUGGUAUUCCGAGGAGCAUGCCUGUUUGAGUCUCAUGGAAUUCUCAACCUUCAGCUUUAUUGAUGAAGGCUUGGACUUGGAGGUCGUGCCGGCUCUCGUAGUCGGCUCCUCUGAAAUGCAUUAGUGCGAACGUUACCAGCCGCUUCAGCGUGAUAAUUAUCUGCGUUGCUGUGGAGGGUAUUCUAGUGUUCACGCUUCUAACCGUCUUCGGACAAAUUUCUGAACUCUGAGCUCAAAUCAGGUAGGACUACCCGCUGAACUUAAGCAUAUCAAUAAGCGGAGGA